GGGCGUUUGGUUUAGGGGUAUAAUGUUCGCUUCGCAUAUUCUCAGCUGCUUGCGAAAGGUCGCCGGUUCGAUUCCGGCAUCGUCCA
Molecule: transfer RNA, 86 nt
Filed under: Diaporthe ampelina
Lineage: Eukaryota; Fungi; Ascomycota; Sordariomycetes; Diaporthales; Diaporthaceae
Rfam family: tRNA
About the family: Transfer RNA (tRNA) molecules are approximately 80 nucleotides in length.
Source: Rfam by way of RNAcentral